CUAUGUCGGCGACCGGCGCACGGGGUGCGUAACGCGUAUGCAACCUACCCAUUACAGGGGGAUAACACUGAGAAAUCGGUACUAAUACCCCAUAACAUCCAGGGAGGCAUCUUCUUGGGUUGAAAACUCCGGUGGUAAUGGAUGGGCAUGCGUUGUAUUAGUUAGUUGGUGGGGUAACGGCUCACCAAGACAACGAUACAUAGGGGGACUGAGAGGUUAACCCCCCACAUUGGUACUGAGACACGGACCAAACUCCUACGGGAGGCAGCAG
Molecule: ribosomal RNA, 271 nt
Filed under: uncultured bacterium
Lineage: Bacteria
Description: partial 16S ribosomal RNA
Rfam family: Bacterial small subunit ribosomal RNA
Source: RNAcentral